UCACUGUCUCAGUGGCUACUGACCGGAGCUGUACUGAUAUCAGAUCUACAGAGUACGGUGGUCUCGGAUCCACCUAUAGCUCGACCGAUGCGUCGCCGGACGGCCGUCCACGCGGUCCUCGUUGCCGCCGGCCUCCUGGUGCUGCUGGCCACGUACUCGCCGCCGCCGCUGCGUUCUCCUCCAGGUAUGCAUAAUGCAUAUAAUUUCCUCUGCGAGCUCCAAAUCCCAGCUUAUGUGACAGUGUGUGUGUGAAUGGAUUCGCAGUGCUGCUACUGGGUGGCGACGCCGACGCGGGUGCGCAGGGUAGCCGGUCGGCGCAGUCGACGCCACGUGAGAGGAGGAAGCUGGGUGUGGUAGCCGGCCGGCGCUUGGGCCAGAGAGUGCCCGUGAAGCCACCCUCGCCGGACCCCAACGGCUGGAAGACGAUGGUGAAGCCCGUGCCGCCGCCGCCGCCGCCGCCAUCAUCAAUUUACUAGGCGUACGAAAGCAGUAUGCCGAUCUGGUGCUCACUCGCCCAUGCUAUGCAACGUCGCGUACUUGCGCGUGGCCGACGGCUGCAAAAUCUUGUCUUAGGACUGUCUUUUCAUUUCCUGUGGUGCUUCUAAUGGCGCUUAUGGAUGACUGGAACGGUCUUUUGCUCCGUGCAAAAGCAUGAAACCUCCAGUUUCGCUAUUUGUAGCCACUCCCUAAUUUUGUUUCGUGGGACCAAAAUAAUGUUAAUACUCUACUCUUUCUUAUUAUUUUGAGCAAAGCUUAAUACUCUGCUGGUUAAGUACAAAUGUUCUGGCCUUUUGGCGGGCUAAAUUGUGUAUGGGUCCAGCCUAGUUGCAGGCUUGUGGCUCAACUUGAUACAUUUCGCUU
RNAcentral lists this long non-coding RNA (861 nucleotides) under Triticum aestivum (bread wheat). RNAcentral describes it as "long non-coding RNA (TAES_LNC010854)". The record is from RNAcentral. Lineage: Eukaryota; Viridiplantae; Streptophyta; Magnoliopsida; Poales; Poaceae.